Molecule: ribosomal RNA, 920 nt
Filed under: uncultured bacterium
Lineage: Bacteria
Description: bacterial SSU rRNA
Rfam family: Bacterial small subunit ribosomal RNA
Source: RNAcentral
AGAGUUUGAUCAUGGCUCAGAUUGAACGCUGGCGGCAUGCCUUACACAUGCAAGUCGAACGGCAGCAUGAUCUAGCUUGCUAGAUUGAUGGCGAGUGGCGAACGGGUGAGUAAUACAUCGGAACGUGCCCUGUAGUGGGGGAUAACUAGUCGAAAGAUUAGCUAAUACCGCAUACGACCUGAGGGUGAAAGUGGGGGACCGCAAGGCCUCAUGCUAUAGGAGCGGCCGAUGUCUGAUUAGCUAGUUGGUGAGGUAAAGGCUCACCAAGGCGACGAUCCAGUAGCUGGUCUGAGAGGACGAUCAGCCACACUGGGACUGAGACACGGCCCAGACUCCUACGGGAGGCAGCAGUGGGGAAUUUUGGACAAUGGGCGAAAGCCUGAUCCAGCAAUGCCGCGUGUGUGAAGAAGGCCUUCGGGUUGUAAAGCACUUUUGUCCGGAAAGAAAUGGCUCUGGUUAAUACCUGGGGUCGAUGACGGUACCGGAAGAAUAAGGACCGGCUAACUACGUGCCAGCAGCCGCGGUAAUACGUAGGGUCCAAGCGUUAAUCGGAAUUACUGGGCGUAAAGCGUGCGCAGGCGGUUGUGCAAGACCGAUGUGAAAUCCCCGAGCUUAACUUGGGAAUUGCAUUGGUGACUGCACGGCUAGAGUGUGUCAGAGGGGGGUAGAAUUCCACGUGUAGCAGUGAAAUGCGUAGAGAUGUGGAGGAAUACCGAUGGCGAAGGCAGCCCCCUGGGAUAACACUGACGCUCAUGCCACGAAAGCGUGGGGAGCAAACAGGAUUAGAUACCCUGGUAGUCCACGCCCUAAACGAUGUCAACUAGUUGUUGGGGAUUCAUUUCCUUAGUAACGUAGCUAACGCGUGAAGUUGACCGCCUGGGGAGUACGGUCGCAAGAUUAAAACUCAAAGGAAUUGACGG